This 238-nucleotide ribosomal RNA is filed under the name uncultured bacterium. Its description in RNAcentral is "partial 16S ribosomal RNA". It matches the Rfam family "Bacterial small subunit ribosomal RNA", at positions 98 to 339 of the family's 1533-position model. The record is from RNAcentral.
GCGCACGGGUGAGUAAUAUAUAGAUAACGUGCCUCUUAGUCUGGGAUAGCCAUUGGAAACGGUGAUUAAUACCGGAUACUCCUUUUCAUUUCAAGAUGAAUCGGGAAAGUUUUUCGCUAAGAGAUCGGCCUAUAUCCCAUCAGCUUGUUGGUAGUGUAAGAGACUACCAAGGCAAUGACGGGUAGCGGGUUUGAGAGGAUGAUCCGCCACACUGGUACUGAGACACGGACCAGACUCC